CUCUACAAUUGGGGGACAGCUUCCGGUGGAGGAGAGAAAGCUGCAGGUGAGCAGCAGAGCAGAGGCGUGAGACCAGCAGCUGAUCAUUCAGCUGGACAUUUGUGCAGGAAUGUGUACUCAAAAACCGAAGAUGCAGCCGAAAAACAUUGCCCAAAGAAAGCACUGAAGAGCAGAGACCAAAUGCUCCUGCUGAUGUGAAGAAAAAAGGAAAACGGUGUAUAACAACUUCCCUUGCUGAGAUAUGAAACUCCAUGUCUAAGGAUGAGAAGGCUAAAAAUUUCCUUCAGGCUGAUUUAGAGAGCAGACUUCACCAUCAGCUGCACCCUGGUUGGUCCACAAGUGGUAACUAUGGCAAAAAGAGGAAGAGAACAAGGAGGAAGAAAGCUAGAGCUGUGGCUGUAGGAGGAGAACAAACGUAUGGCGAUAGAAAUGAGGCCUUUGCAGACGGUCCCAGUACUGCACACACAAAUGCAUGACAGGACAGACAGUCCAGGUUCUGCUCCCAGGCAUUAAGACCCCUGUUAGUGUACCUGUGUGUGGUUAUUGUCAUCUGCUGCAGGCAUGCAUUGUCACCUCAGGGCGCCUCCUGGCUUUACCUCCAGACCAACCCUUCUAAAUAAGGCAUUUAUUGUUUUGUUAUUGUUAAUAAAUUCACAACUUGA
This is a long non-coding RNA of Cheilinus undulatus (humphead wrasse), 662 nucleotides long. RefSeq lists it as uncharacterized. Lineage: Eukaryota; Metazoa; Chordata; Actinopteri; Labriformes; Labridae. The transcript is spliced from 5 exons. The record is from RefSeq and is a predicted model, not a curated record.